CGGGACUGACGGGGCUCGAACCCGCAGCUCCGC
Molecule: transfer RNA, 33 nt
Filed under: Citrus x limon
Lineage: Eukaryota; Viridiplantae; Streptophyta; Magnoliopsida; Sapindales; Rutaceae
Also listed under: 65 other names
Description: Citrus limon partial tRNA-Asp
Source: RNAcentral